RNAcentral lists this ribosomal RNA (376 nucleotides) under uncultured bacterium. RNAcentral's name for it is "bacterial SSU rRNA". It matches the Rfam family "Bacterial small subunit ribosomal RNA", at positions 524 to 898 of the family's 1533-position model. The record is from RNAcentral.
UACGUAGGGUGCGAGCGUUAAUCGGAAUUACUGGGCGUAAAGCGUGCGCAGGCGGUUUGAUAAGACAGGCGUGAAAUCCCCGGGCUUAACCUGGGAACUGCGCUUGUGACUGUCUCACUAGAGUACGGCAGAGGGGGGUGGAAUUCCACGUGUAGCAGUGAAAUGCGUAGAGAUGUGGAGGAACACCGAUGGCGAAGGCAGCCCCCUGGGCCGAUACUGACGCUCAUGCACGAAAGCGUGGGGAGCAAACAGGAUUAGAUACCCUGGUAGUCCACGCCCUAAACGAUGUCAACUAGGUGUUGGGUGGGUAAAACCAUUUAGUACCGGAGCUAACGCGUGAAGUUGACCGCCUGGGGAGUACGGCCGCAAGGUUAAA